This is a long non-coding RNA of Trichoplusia ni (cabbage looper), 433 nucleotides long. RefSeq lists it as uncharacterized. NCBI's taxonomy places the organism in Eukaryota, Metazoa, Arthropoda, Insecta, Lepidoptera, Noctuidae. The transcript has 3 exons. The record is from RefSeq and is a predicted model, not a curated record.
CCGCGCGCCCCGACCCCGACGCGCGCCUCGCGCUGCCGCUCUACAGGCAGCCAUACCUGCUCAGACAGAUGUCGCCAGGAACAUGGUGUCGCCGUUCUCCAGCGCCCGUGCAACAUCCAGUUUUAAACCACCCGCGGCGCCAGCACCCCGACACUCGCAACCAGCGCCGUUAGACACACAAACAGACAAACAAACAAGCAAUAACACACAACACAGUCAUGUACAUACUGAUACAUACGGGCGGAUAGAGAUGUAGCUAAACAAGAAUAUUAAUAACUAGCUGUUGCCCGCGACUUCGUCCGCGUGGUUGGAAGAUAUAAGUUAUGACACCUUAGGUUACAACAGCGCAAUUUUCUUGCGGAACCCUAAUAUUUUUUAAAUAAAUUAUAGCCUAUGUUCAGCGGAGAUAAUGUAGCUUCUCAACAGUGAAAGA